Molecule: transfer RNA, 73 nt
Filed under: Amphibalanus amphitrite
Lineage: Eukaryota; Metazoa; Arthropoda; Thecostraca; Balanomorpha; Balanidae
Description: tRNA-Arg
Rfam family: tRNA
About the family: Transfer RNA (tRNA) molecules are approximately 80 nucleotides in length.
Source: Rfam by way of RNAcentral
GGCCCUGUGGCCUAAUGGAUAAGGCGUCGGAUUCCGGAUCCGAAGACUGCAGGUUCGAGUCCUGCCAGGGUCG